Molecule: ribosomal RNA, 694 nt
Filed under: uncultured bacterium
Lineage: Bacteria
Description: bacterial SSU rRNA
Rfam family: Bacterial small subunit ribosomal RNA
Source: RNAcentral
AACGCUAGCUACAGGCUUAACACAUGCAAGUCGAGGGGCAGCAUGAUUGAAGCUUGCUUCAAUUGAUGGCGACCGGCGCACGGGUGAGUAACACGUAUCCAACCUUCCGUACACUCAGGGAUAGCCUUUCGAAAGAAAGAUUAAUACCUGAUGGUAUCUUAAGCACACAUGUAAUUAAGAUUAAAGAUUUAUCGGUGUACGAUGGGGAUGCGUUCCAUUAGGUAGUAGGCGGGGUAACGGCCCACCUAGCCUACGAUGGAUAGGGGUUCUGAGAGGAAGGUCCCCCACAUUGGAACUGAGACACGGUCCAAACUCCUACGGGAGGCAGCAGUGAGGAAUAUUGGUCAAUGGACGAGAGUCUGAACCAGCCAAGUAGCGUGAAGGAUGAAGGUCCUACGGAUUGUAAACUUCUUUUAUAAGGGAAUAAAACCUCCCACGUGUGGGAGCUUGUAUGUACCUUAUGAAUAAGCAUCGGCUAACUCCGUGCCAGCAGCCGCGGUAAUACGGAGGAUGCGAGCGUUAUCCGGAUUUAUUGGGUUUAAAGGGAGCGUAGACGGGUCGUUAAGUCAGCUGUGAAAGUUUGAGGCUCAACCUUAAAAUUGCAGUUGAUACUGGCGUCCUUGUGUACGGUUGAGGCAGGCGGAAUUCGUGGUGUAGCGGUGAAAUGCUUAGAUAUCACGAAGAACUCCGAUUG